This is a long non-coding RNA of Gallus gallus (chicken), 1174 nucleotides long. The record is from Ensembl. Lineage: Eukaryota; Metazoa; Chordata; Aves; Galliformes; Phasianidae.
CACAGACCUAAGUGACCACAGCUAGGUCCCGCAGCUGGGCCUGACACCCUGCUCCCUCCUCAGUGCAGCCAUGCUUUGGGAGCUGAGAGGGAAACUGCAUCAGUACAAGGUACAAAGUCAAGAUGUUCUUCAUUGACCCAAAGCCCAGCAACCUCUUACAGUCUGGACUGAUUCUCCGAGCACCAGCAGGUGUUCCAUAUGUGAGAGCAGAAAUUACAUCUUGGACUGCUGUUUUCUCCCUGCAGACACGUUGCCUUUGGGGAAGGGGAUGGUGUGAGCAGAGCUGUGUUCAGCCACUGGACAUGUGCGUGACUCAGCACUGUUUUUAUCUUUGUACCUUCUAGACUGAGGCCUGGCUGUCCUGCCAUUGCAUCCCUUCUGCUGUCUCGCCCCAGCUAAGACAGUUUCUCUUUCCCCUUCUGCCAAGCAGUGGGACUUGGUUAUGCUCCUGUAAAAAUAAGAAUUGCCUGGAGGUGCGAUACCUCCAUGCUGCCCAGGAAUCACAGGGACACUGCAUCUCAGCUUCCAUCUUGAGAACUUCAUGUCUCUGAUUCAGAAUAAUAGCUGAAUAAACACUGCUCUGUUUGGGAUUUCUCACCCACGCCCCCUGCCUUGGCCUGAAGCAGACCCAUUUCCUGAGUUCCUUCUCAGGGUUUCACAGGGUCUCGAGGGAACACCUGUGUGAGUUGCAGCGCAGACUUCAUUUGCUCUGACCACUGUCUUGCUCUACAGGCACCACGGUCCUGAGCAAAAGGAGGAUGAUUAUAUAGCUGCAAAUGGCCAUGUCUCGCUUUCAAGAAGGGUAAUUAAACAUCUGAAGGCCACAGACUGGGAUUAAUGACAAGAGGGCCCAAUCAGAAGAUGUGGGGAUGGUGGCACCAGCUAGAUGAAAUGCUGAUCCUCUGGCUGCUAAGGAAGCACAGAAAGCUGGCUUGGUGCUGUGCUGAUGUUUCUGAAACUUGAGAGAGAGGUUUUGAGAUGCUGAGAUUUUGAAAUUAUAUUAAGUGCUGGAUGUUAAGGGGUAAUUACAGAAAAAGAAAAACAAGCAAAAUGAACAGUGUUUUUUCCCCUCCUCCACCAAGUGAAAUGGUAAUGGAAUAUGGUCUCGUGUAGUAUAAUGCUUUAAGUACUGCGUGUCCCAGUUUCACAAUGCUCAGUACAAUGUGUACAAAAA